CCUACGGGAGGCAGCAGUGAGGAAUAUUGGUCAAUGGGCGCAAGCCUGAACCAGCCAAGUAGCGUGAGGGAAGACUGCCCUACGGGUUGUAAACUUCUUUUAUAAGGGAAUAAAGUUGUGCACGUGUGGAUGUUUGCAGGUACCGCAUGAAUAAGGACCGGCUAAUUCCGUGCCAGCAGCCGCGGUAAUACGGAGGGUCCGGGCGUUAUCCGGAUUUAUUGGGUUUAAAGGGAGCGUAGGUGGGUUUUUAAGUGUGUCGUGAAAGUUUGUGGCUCAACCGUGAAAUUGCAGUGGAGACUGGCAGCCUUGAGUGCAGUGAAGGUAGGCGGAAUUCGUGGUGUAGCGGUGAAAUGCUUAGAUAUCACGAAGAACCCCGAUUGCGAAGGCAGCCUACUGAAGUGCUACUGACACUGAUGCUCGAAAGUGUGGGUAUCAAACAGGAUUAGAUACCCUUGUAGUC
Molecule: ribosomal RNA, 460 nt
Filed under: uncultured bacterium
Lineage: Bacteria
Description: partial 16S ribosomal RNA
Rfam family: Bacterial small subunit ribosomal RNA
Source: RNAcentral